This 468-nucleotide ribosomal RNA is filed under the name uncultured bacterium. Its description in RNAcentral is "partial 16S ribosomal RNA". It matches the Rfam family "Bacterial small subunit ribosomal RNA", at positions 28 to 507 of the family's 1533-position model. The record is from RNAcentral.
GACGAACGCUGGCGGCGUGCUUAACACAUGCAAGUCGAACGGAAAGGCCCUGCUUUUGUGGGGUGCUCGAGUGGCGAACGGGUGAGUAACACGUGAGUAACCUGCCCUUGACUUUGGGAUAACUUCAGGAAACUGGGGCUAACACCGGGUAGGAGCUCCUGCUGCAUGGUGGGGGUUGGAAAGUUUCGGCGGUUGGGGAUGGACUCGCGGCUUAUCAGCUUGUUGGUGGGGUAGUGGCUUACCAAGGCUUUGACGGGUAGCCGGCCUGAGAGGGUGACCGGCCACAUUGGGACUGAGAUACGGCCCAGACUCCUACGGGAGGCAGCAGUGGGGAAUAUUGCACAAUGGGCGGAAGCCUGAUGCAGCAACGCCGCGUGCGGGAUGACGGCCUUCGGGUUGUAAACCGCUUUCGCCUGUGACGAAGCGUGAGUGACGGUAAUGGGUAAAGAAGCACCGGCUAACUACGUG